RNAcentral lists this ribosomal RNA (523 nucleotides) under Flavonifractor sp. An91. RNAcentral describes it as "bacterial SSU rRNA". It matches the Rfam family "Bacterial small subunit ribosomal RNA", at positions 1013 to 1533 of the family's 1533-position model. The record is from RNAcentral. Lineage: Bacteria; Bacillati; Bacillota; Clostridia; Eubacteriales; Oscillospiraceae.
UUUCCCUUCGGGGCACCGGUGACAGGUGGUGCAUGGUUGUCGUCAGCUCGUGUCGUGAGAUGUUGGGUUAAGUCCCGCAACGAGCGCAACCCUUAUUGUUAGUUGCUACGCAAGAGCACUCUAGCGAGACUGCCGUUGACAAAACGGAGGAAGGUGGGGACGACGUCAAAUCAUCAUGCCCCUUAUGUCCUGGGCCACACACGUACUACAAUGGUGGUUAACAGAGGGAGGCAAAACCGCGAGGUGGAGCAAAUCCCUAAAAGCCAUCCCAGUUCGGAUUGCAGGCUGAAACCCGCCUGUAUGAAGUUGGAAUCGCUAGUAAUCGCGGAUCAGCAUGCCGCGGUGAAUACGUUCCCGGGCCUUGUACACACCGCCCGUCACACCAUGAGAGUCGGGAACACCCGAAGUCCGUAGCCUAACCGCAAGGGGGGCGCGGCCGAAGGUGGGUUCGAUAAUUGGGGUGAAGUCGUAACAAGGUAGCCGUAUCGGAAGGUGCGGCUGGAUCACCUCCUUUCUAAGGAGA